Long non-coding RNA from Daphnia carinata, 2499 nucleotides. RefSeq lists it as uncharacterized. Lineage: Eukaryota; Metazoa; Arthropoda; Branchiopoda; Diplostraca; Daphniidae. The transcript is spliced from 12 exons. The record is from RefSeq and is a predicted model, not a curated record.
AGGACGCUGGAGCACCGAAGAGGACGCUGGAGCACCGAAGAGGACGCUGGAGCACCGAAGAGGACGCUGGAGCACCGAAUCGAAGAGGACGCUCGUCACGGAUAUUCAGGUAUAUUAUUUUUAAAUUUAAUGUCUCACCAUGUUUUUUUACGUACCCAGGAGGGCUCUACUACCACCGAAGAGGAUCAUUGGACAGCGAGGUUCGCCGUCGGAGCUACCAGGAUUGUCGCCCAAGAUUGUCAAGAGGGCUCCACCACACCGAAGAGGACCACUGGACGUCGUGGAUCGCCGCUGGAGCAACGAGGGUCGCCGCUCAGCUCCGAGAUUCACGUCCAUUAGGACGACGGAAACAGAGAUGCUAUGAAAAUUCUAGGAUCUUGAGGACUUGCAGUGAACGCAAAGAUAUAGCAAAAUCAAACACCACUCACGAAUGUCGCAUCGUUAAAAUUGAAGAGGAUUAGAGUUCAACAUGGCGACGAGAACACACCAAAUGUAAAGCCUAGACCACAGAAGGGAAUUUCAAUAAAAUCCUAGAAAUUUUCCUUGUGUUUGAAAAAUAGACUAGACCUGAAUUUGCCACCAUUUCAAGUACGUGUGUCUUGGAAGCAAUUGUGAAUGUUGUAUGCUUUUAGUAUACCGAGGAGGCACCUGCCAAGAAAAUAAAGCACAAAGUGAUUAACAUGUUCAGUUUUGUAACUUCACAGAAGGUGUCAAAGUCAAAUGUGCUGAAUAUGCUCAUAUUUUUGCACAAAUGAAAGAGAAAAGAAGGUGAAGUCCCUGGAGUUGCAGGUCUAUGCUAAGAACUUAAGGUCCAUGGAAAAGAUGGAAAAUGUCGAGCUCAUCUUGGAACAAGGACAGUAAACAAGGACUUUCAUUUAGGAUAUUCAUAGAAGAAUAAUGGCCAAUUUUUUUGGAAAGGACAUGCCUGAAUCGUGAAUAGAAGUUUUACAAGUAAAUUUUCCAUUGUUCCAUGUCGCCUAUUUAGGUGAAUCAUUUGGGGGGAGGAGAUGUUAGUUAAUCAUAUCUCAAUUUACAGGGGUUAAAGAGAAUGGAUCCGACUGUGAGCAUGAUGAUGCAACCUACCAACCUUUACCUUUUGCUGAGCUCUUUUGAUAGCAAAGAAUUCAAUCUCACUUAUCGGCUUUCUGCAGGCAAAAUCAGUUUCUUUUCCAAUUGGGCUGUCAUUGGAGUUCUGCAAUUGCUCUUUGUUGCCGAGAUAAUCAACUGAGGUAAGCUAUGCCUAUAGUACCAACUAGUACUUCGCACGGGAGAAGCCUCCACCCAGCAACAGACGUCUUUUCCAUUCGUUAGUUAAGUACUGAAGAAGGUGAAAAACAUUGGAAGGCUUUCGAAACACGUGUUAUUGAGCAUAAUGUCCUCAUCGUGGCCAAACACUACACGCGUGUGGCAAUGCAAAGGAUGAUUUCAUCCGUGAUUUUUCUAUUGAGGAACACAGAAGAAUAUCUAAUGUGGUGUACAGUUAAACUGUAACAUCGUGCGUCGGCAUUGACCCGAUUUUUAAAACCUUUUUAAGGAGAUUAGGUCCUCGAUUACUGCUGAUGUACAGGUCAAAGAUGAAAUAGCGUUAUUUAUAGAUAUUCUUUCGGGUAAUAUAAGUUUUUCGCAUUUCAGCCAACAGAUGUCGACCCUACCGCUUUUGUGUCGGUGACUCGAGAGGACGUUCUGCUCUUGGAUCUGACGAAUUGUGGAUAUGAAUGUACAAAAUCUUUGAUGACUGGAUUUGACACUCAGAACUGUUCCUGUUAGAAAGUGGAUCGAGGCUGAUGCAUACUUUCUUGUCAUAAUGCAAGAGAAAUAGGGUAAAGUUGCUGAAGCUGCAGACAUUCUCCAAGAACGUCUGUUCAAGACCGAUGAUUCUAUGGAAAAGCUAGAAAAUUGAACAGGUUGAGCUUAUCCUGAAAUGAAUGAGAUUGUUUUUUCUUCAUCUGCACUCAGAUCAUUUUGAAGAAGAUAAGUGUCAGAUUUGUUUUUAGAGAAACAUGUGCUCAGUCUUAAAGUGAAAUUUUUUCAUGUAGGAAUACUUUAACGUUGUUCCAUUUGUCUUAUUAAGCGUGGGAAGGUGGAGAGGAAAUGUUGGUAAAUUAUUCAUCAUUGUGUAGAUCCCUGAUAGAUGUUGACAAGAACAGGUAUUACAUCUCUACAUUUGUUAACAUAAUCAAGCCAUGUACAACAUAACAGUGAUCCAAGAGAAAGAGCUUCUGCAAUUGUUGGUGGUUGUCGAGCUGAUGUUUCGCUGACACGCUGUGUCAAUAGUACAAACUAGUAUGGCGAAGGGAGAGACCUUCCUCCCGACAAUGAUAUCAUUAACAUAGUUAAUGAGGAUGGCGAGAAACGGUGGAAAGUUACCGAAUACGUCUUGUAUAGAAUGUCCGAAUCAUAGCCAAACACUACAGCCUUGUGACGAUCAAUGGAUGGUUGCCCACUUUGACUAUUUUGUUGAGGGAACAGAAGAAUUUCAAUCCAAUUUAAUGUGCAGAA